RNAcentral lists this unclassified non-coding RNA (173 nucleotides) under uncultured Pezizaceae. Its description in RNAcentral is "sequence contains ITS2". The record is from RNAcentral. Lineage: Eukaryota; Fungi; Ascomycota; Pezizomycetes; Pezizales; Pezizaceae.
UCCUUUGUAUUAUCAAACGUUUCUAAAAUGUUUGGAAAAACAUUUGAGAAAAGUAAUAUUAUUUCAUGAUAUUACCUUCUUAAAAAUGAUAUAUAUACGAUUUGGAUUUUCUUUCUUAACCUCAUUUUGUACAUGAUAACAAAUGAGCAUGAAUUAAAAAUCCAUGCCUUUUC